UACACUCGCACGCACUUUGGUGCUCGUGUGCGCGCUCCUGCGCAUGCAGUUAAACGGGAAACAGGGCGCCCGCCUUCAAGGACCGGGUCAACCUGUGCUGCCCCCGCAACGGUAAGCGAAAUGCGGUACGUCACGUACCGCGGAGCCGGCUUCGAUGUCCACGCGCAAGGCCGCGUCGGCAUACAACCACUGGGCGAGAAAUCACUCGCACGGGAAGGGGAAGCGGCGCUUUCGCCAGCCCGGAUACCGGCCAGAGCACGCAGGACGAA
Molecule: non-coding RNA, 269 nt
Filed under: Paraburkholderia terricola
Lineage: Bacteria; Pseudomonadati; Pseudomonadota; Betaproteobacteria; Burkholderiales; Burkholderiaceae
Source: RNAcentral